UAUGUGAUCGUCUCUCGCAUAUCAAUAAGCGGAGGAAAAGAAACUAACAAGGAUUCCCCUAGUAACGGCGAGUGAAGCGGGAAGAGCUCAAAUUUGAAAUCUUAAAGGGUUUCCCUUUACGAAUUGUAGUUUAAAGAAGUGUUUACUGUUGAGGUUUUGGUAAAAGUUCUUUGGAAUAGGACAUCAUAGAGGGUGAGAAUCCCGUAUUUGACCUUUACUUUCAACUUUGUGAUACACUUUCAAAGAGUCGGAUUGUUUGGGAAUGCAGUCCAAAAUGGGUGGUAAAUUUCAUCUAAAGCUAAAUAUUGGCGAGAGACCGAUAGCGAACAAGUACCGUGAGGGAAAGAUGAAAAGAACUUUGAAAAGAGAGUUAAACAGUACGUGAAAUUGUCAAAAGGGAAGCGUUUGACACCAGUGUUGUUUUUCUGAAAAUCAAUUAAAGAACUGUUUAUGCUAAGCUGUUUAGACUUUAUCAGCUAACUGUUUAGUUUUGAGCUUUUCUUUAAUGCACUUUUCAGUUAACAAGUCAACAUCAAUUUCUUUUGCUGUAAAAAAGCUUGAGGAAGGUGGCUUGAGAUUCGUCUUAAGUGUUUAUAGCCUCUUGCCUAUGCAGUCGGAGAGAUUGAGGUCUGCAGCGUAGAUCCUUCGGGGCUGAAUGCAUUUGUGCUAAGUUAUAGCAUUUUAUAGACAACUUGUUGACUAUGAUUUGUCUUGUAGCUUACUCGCUUAUGUUAUUUUACCUACGCUUAGGAUGUUGAGUAGCGACAUACGCAC
RNAcentral lists this ribosomal RNA (774 nucleotides) under uncultured Neocallimastigales. RNAcentral's name for it is "partial large subunit ribosomal RNA". It matches the Rfam family "Eukaryotic large subunit ribosomal RNA", at positions 24 to 649 of the family's 3401-position model. The record is from RNAcentral. Lineage: Eukaryota; Fungi; Neocallimastigomycota; Neocallimastigomycetes; Neocallimastigales.